AUUUUAAAACAACUUUCAACAACGGAUCUCUUGGCUCUCGCAUCGAUGAAGAACGCAGCGAAAUGCGAUAAGUAAUGUGAAUUGCAGAAUUCAGUGAAUCAUCGAAUCUUUGAACGCACCUUGCGCUCCUUGGUAUUCCGAGGAGCAUGCCUGUUUGAGUGUCAUGAA
This 168-nucleotide ribosomal RNA is filed under the name Heliocybe sulcata. RNAcentral describes it as "5.8S subunit ribosomal RNA". It matches the Rfam family "5.8S ribosomal RNA". Rfam says of the family: 5.8S ribosomal RNA (5.8S rRNA) is a component of the large subunit of the eukaryotic ribosome. It is transcribed by RNA polymerase I as part of the 45S precursor that also contains 18S and 28S rRNA. Lineage: Eukaryota; Fungi; Basidiomycota; Agaricomycetes; Gloeophyllales; Gloeophyllaceae. The record is from RNAcentral.